This 495-nucleotide ribosomal RNA is filed under the name uncultured bacterium. Its description in RNAcentral is "partial 16S ribosomal RNA". It matches the Rfam family "Bacterial small subunit ribosomal RNA", at positions 28 to 507 of the family's 1533-position model. The record is from RNAcentral.
GACGAACGCUGGCGGCGUGCCUAAUACAUGCAAGUAGAACGCUGAAGGAGGAGCUUGCUUCUCUGGAUGAGUUGCGAACGGGUGAGUAACGCGUAGGUAACCUGCCUGGUAGCGGGGGAUAACUAUUGGAAACGAUAGCUAAUACCGCAUAAUAUUGACUAUUGCAUGAUAGUCAGUUGAAAGGUGCAACUGCACCACUACCAGAUGGACCUGCGUUGUAUUAGCUAGUUGGUGGGGUAACGGCUCACCAAGGCGACGAUACAUAGCCGACCUGAGAGGGUGAUCGGCCACACUGGGACUGAGACACGGCCCAGACUCCUACGGGAGGCAGCAGUAGGGAAUCUUCGGCAAUGGGCGGAAGUCUGACCGAGCAACGCCGCGUGAGUGAAGAAGGUUUUCGGAUCGUAAAGCUCUGUUGUAAGAGAAGAACGAGUGUGAGAGUGGAAAGCUCACACUGUGACGGUAUCUUACCAGAAAGGGACGGCUAACUACGUG